Molecule: ribosomal RNA, 1357 nt
Filed under: uncultured bacterium
Lineage: Bacteria
Description: bacterial SSU rRNA
Rfam family: Bacterial small subunit ribosomal RNA
Source: RNAcentral
AGAGUUUGAUCCUGGCUCAGGAUGAACGCUGGCGGCGUGCCUAACACAUGCAAGUCGAACGCUCCCUGUAGCAAUACGGGGGGAGUGGCGGACGGGUGAGUAACACGUAGCUCAUCUACCCUGGGGCGGGGGAUAACGGCUGGAAACGGUCGCUAAUACCCCAUACGCUGGGAGACGGUAGGGGUCUCUCAGGAAAGCUACGGUGUCCUGGGAUGAGGCUGCGGCCCAUCAGCUAGUUGGCGAGGUAACGGCUCACCAAGGCGACGACGGGUAGGGGGCCUGGGAGGGUGGUCCCCCACACUGGAACUGAGACACGGUCCAGACUCCUACGGGAGGCAGCAGUGAGGAAUAUUGCGCAAUGGGCGAAAGCCAGACGCAGCAACGCCGCGUGGAGGAAGACGGCCUUCGGGUUGUAAACUCCUUUUCUGGGGGAAGAAGCUGACGGUACCCCAGGAAGAAGUCUCGGCUAACUACGUGCCAGCAGCCGCGGUAAAACGUAGGAGACGAGCGUUAUCCGGAUUUACUGGGCGUAAAGCGCGUGCAGGCGGUUGGGAAAGUCGUGCGUGAAAGCUCCUGGCUUAACUGGGAGAGGUCGUACGAAACUACCCGGCUAGAGGGCAGGCGAGGGGUGUGGAAUUCCGGGUGUAGUGGUGAAAUGCGUAGAUAUCCGGAGGAACACCAGUGGCGAAGGCGACACCCUGGACUGUACCUGACGCUCAGACGCGAAAGCAUGGGGAGCGAACGGGAUUUAGAAACCCCGGUAGUCCAUGCCGUAAACGAUGUGCACUGGGCGUGGAGGGCUGCAAAGCCCACCGUGCCGAAGCCAACGCGAUAAGUGCACCGCCUGGGGACUACGAGCGCAAGCUUAAAACUCAAAGGAAUUGACGGGGGCCCGCACAAGCAGCGGAGCGUGUGGUUUAAUUCGAGGCUACACGAAGAACCUUACCUGGGCUUGACAUGGCGGUGGUAGGGAACCGAAAGGCGACCGACCUUCGGGAGCCGUCACAGGUGCUGCAUGGCUGUCGUCAGCUCGUGCCGUGAGGUGUUCGGUUAAGUCCGGUAACGAGCGCAACCCUCGGGUCUAGUUACAGGUGUCUAGACCGACUGCCCGUGGCAAGCGGGAGGAAGGUGGGGAUGACGUCGAGUCCUCAUGGCCCUUAUAUCCAGGGCUACACACGUGCUACAAUGGACGGUACAAAGGGUCGCGAACCUGUAAGGGGGAGCUAACCCCAGAAAACCGCUCUCAGUUCGGAUUGGAGUCUGCAACCCGACUCCAUGAAGUUGGAAUCGCUAGUAAUCGCGGAUCAGAACGCCGCGGUGAAUACGUUCCCGGGCCUUGCACACACCGCCCGUCAAG